Molecule: long non-coding RNA, 477 nt
Organism: Gossypium arboreum
Lineage: Eukaryota; Viridiplantae; Streptophyta; Magnoliopsida; Malvales; Malvaceae
Exons: 2
Source: RefSeq, a predicted model, not a curated record
CAAAAUCGAAACCUGCUUUAAAAUUUUUUCUUUAAAGAAAACAUUUCAACUUUUUCCUUCAAAAAAAAAAACUAAAGUUUUGAAACUCUUCCCCUUCACUUUCUCCUUUUUUCCUCUUCUUCGACAGACCACCAUUUUGAGCCAAACUUCGACUUCAAAGGUUUCUCUUGCGCCGCGUAGGCCAUGGUGACAUGAACGGACGUGGGUGAGGAACGAACGAGUUGAGGGUCGUGCUUGGUGUGCCAACGUGUGUGAUGAAGAGGUGCUGAUGGUCGUGGGUGGAGAACGUGGGCACAUGGUGAAGGGAGGCAGUUUGCUGGAAAAUAAUUUUUUUUUUUGUGGGCUAAGGGUUUUUUUAAAAAAUUUGGGCUUUUGUUUUACUUGGAUUUUUAUGUAAUGGUUUGUAUUUUAGGUUUAUUAUUUAGUGUAAUUGGGCUGGCUUAAUUUAAUUGGUUUUAUUUUUGGGUUUUUUAUUUA